Molecule: small RNA, 54 nt
Filed under: Sinorhizobium meliloti 2011
Lineage: Bacteria; Pseudomonadati; Pseudomonadota; Alphaproteobacteria; Hyphomicrobiales; Rhizobiaceae
Description: putative ncRNA
Source: RNAcentral
GUCACCCCCGAGCGGCCCCCCUCGUCAGCCGCUCGAGUGUGGUACCUCGGAGCU